CAUAGACAUGUAUAUAUGUCUAUGAUGGGAGAGAUACCACAGAGAUAGUAGUAUAACUAAUUGACUGCCUAGAAAACAAAACGUCAAAAAGAAUGUCAGAGAAAAAUAUGACUAUUAUUACCACUGUUGAAUAAAAAGGAAUGAACCGAGCGACAAAACUCGAGUGAACAUUGCAUUGGUUCAGCUUUUCAGUGAUGGCGAGAGCUCCGGGACUUGAAAGUUUCAAAACUAAGUGACGCUGAUCUUACAGUAUUUCUGCUUGACAGUGGUAAGUGGGAUGCUCAUCCUCUGCUGGGGUGGUGCCAUGCAUUGUGAAGCAAAGGUUGAGAGAGGACCUGUUUGAUGAACCUGUUAAUGAACCUUGCUUCAAAUAGCAUGAACUGGAAAUACAAUGGCAGGGACAGGGAGUCAGAAGAUGAGGCUGAAUGAGUGGACCAUGCCCCUGACUUGGAGGCUCACACAGAAGACCAUGCCCCUGACCCACAUAAUCACUGGAAAGACCAUGCACCUGACUUGCUGAGUCACCUGGAAAACCAUGUUCCUUUCCCUGAGAAUCAAGGACCGGAUUUGGCCACCCCUGGUCUAUGUCAAGGUGCUGGAAAGGAGGCUAUAACCGAUAGUGGAUCCCCAGAUUCAAGAGGAACAAUGUGG
Anguilla anguilla (European eel) is the source of this 651-nucleotide long non-coding RNA. RefSeq lists it as uncharacterized. The record is from RefSeq and is a predicted model, not a curated record. NCBI's taxonomy places the organism in Eukaryota, Metazoa, Chordata, Actinopteri, Anguilliformes, Anguillidae. The transcript is spliced from 4 exons.